AACGAACGCUGGCGGCGUGCCUAACACAUGCAAGUCGAGCGAGAAAAGGGGAGCAAUCCCCUGAGUACAGCGGCGCACGGGUGAGUAACACGUAGGUGAUCUCCCCUCGAGCCCGGAAUAACCUACCGAAAGGUGGGCUAAUACCGGAUAUGACCACGGGAGUUUCGGCUCCUGCGGUGAAAGAUGGCCUCUACCUGUAAGCUAUCACUCAAGGAUGAGCCUGCGNGCCAUUAGCUAGUUGGUGAGGUAACGGCUCACCAAGGCGAUGAUGGCUAGCUGGUCUGAGAGGAUGGCCAGCCACACUGGGACUGAAACACGGCCCAGACUCCUACGGGAGGCAGCAGUGGGGAUAUUGCGCAAUGGGACGAAAGCCUGACGCAGCGACGCCGC
Molecule: ribosomal RNA, 390 nt
Filed under: uncultured bacterium
Lineage: Bacteria
Description: bacterial SSU rRNA
Rfam family: Bacterial small subunit ribosomal RNA
Source: RNAcentral